RNAcentral lists this ribosomal RNA (253 nucleotides) under uncultured bacterium. RNAcentral describes it as "partial 16S ribosomal RNA". It matches the Rfam family "Bacterial small subunit ribosomal RNA", at positions 524 to 776 of the family's 1533-position model. The record is from RNAcentral.
UACGGGGGGGGCAAGCGUUGUUCGGAAUUACUGGGCGUAAAGGGCUCGUAGGUGGCCAACUAAGUCGGACGUGAAAUCCCUCGGCUUAACCGGGGAACUGCGUCCGAUACUGGUUGGCUUGAGUUCGGGAGAGGGAUGCGGAAUUCCUGGUGUAGCGGUGAAAUGCGCAGAUAUCAGGAGGAACACCGGUGGCGAAGGCGGGUCUCUGGGCCGAUACUGACGCUGAGGAGCGAAAGCGUGGGGAGCGAACAGG